UGGGGAAUAUUGGGCAAUGGACGCAAGUCUGACCCAGCAACGCCGCGUGAAGGAAGAAGGCUUUCGGGUUGUAAACUUCUUUUAAGGGGGAAGAGCAGAAGACGGUACCCCUUGAAUAAGCCACGGCUAACUACGUGCCAGCAGCCGCGGUAAUACGUAGGUGGCAAGCGUUGUCCGGAUUUACUGGGUGUAAAGGGCGUGUAGCCGGGUCGGCAAGUCAGAUGUGAAAUCCACGGGCUCAACUCGUGAACUGCAUUUGAAACUGUUGAUCUUGAGUAUCGG
Molecule: ribosomal RNA, 282 nt
Filed under: uncultured Oscillibacter sp.
Lineage: Bacteria; Bacillati; Bacillota; Clostridia; Eubacteriales; Oscillospiraceae
Description: partial 16S ribosomal RNA
Rfam family: Bacterial small subunit ribosomal RNA
Source: RNAcentral